Molecule: non-coding RNA, 309 nt
Organism: Mesocricetus auratus (golden hamster)
Lineage: Eukaryota; Metazoa; Chordata; Mammalia; Rodentia; Cricetidae
Source: Rfam
GGAUGUGAGGGCGAUCUGGCUGUGACAUCUGUCACCCCAUUGAUCGCCAGGGUUGAUUCGGCUGAUCUGGCUGGCUAGGCGGGUGUCCCCUUCCUCCCUCACCACUCCAUGUGCGUCCCUCCCGAAGCUGCGCGCUCGGUCGAAGAGGACGACCUUCCCCGAACAGAGGAGGACCGGUCUUCGGUCAAGGGUAUAUGAGUAGCUGCGCUCCCCUUCUAGAACCUCCAAACAAGCUCUCAAGGUCCAUUAAUAAGAUAUUGCUGCUUUAUUUAUAGUUUGUCCCAUGUGUUAUAUAAUAUUACCAUUAUG